RNAcentral lists this transfer RNA (72 nucleotides) under Puntius sahyadriensis (Khavli barb). RNAcentral's name for it is "tRNA-Thr". It matches the Rfam family "tRNA". From Rfam's summary of the family: Transfer RNA (tRNA) molecules are approximately 80 nucleotides in length. Their secondary structure includes four short double-helical elements and three loops (D, anti-codon, and T loops). The record is from RNAcentral. Lineage: Eukaryota; Metazoa; Chordata; Actinopteri; Cypriniformes; Cyprinidae.
GCCCUGGUAGCUUAGUAUAAAAGCAUCGGUCUUGUAAUCCGAAGAUCGGAGGUUAAAUCCCUCCCCAGUGCC